CAGCAGCAGCCGCGGGAACACAGAGGGUGCGAGCGUUAAUCGGAUUUACUGGGCGUAAAGCGUGCGUAGGCGGCUUCUUAAGUCGGAUGUGAAAUCCCUGAGCUUAACUUAGGAAUUGCAUUCGAUACUGGUAAGCUAGAGUAUGGGAGAGGAUGGUAGAAUUCCAGGUGUAGCGGUGAAAUGCGUAGAGAUCUGGAGGAAUACCGAUGGCGAAGGCAGCCAUCUGGCCUAAUACUGACGCUGAGGUACGAAAGCAUGGGGAGCAAACAGGAUUAGAUACCCCCGUAGUCCCUGUCUCUUAUAC
Molecule: ribosomal RNA, 304 nt
Filed under: uncultured bacterium
Lineage: Bacteria
Description: partial 16S ribosomal RNA
Rfam family: Bacterial small subunit ribosomal RNA
Source: RNAcentral